Molecule: long non-coding RNA, 89 nt
Organism: Sinocyclocheilus grahami
Lineage: Eukaryota; Metazoa; Chordata; Actinopteri; Cypriniformes; Cyprinidae
Exons: 3
Source: RefSeq, a predicted model, not a curated record
CCACUGUCCCUUCCUCCUGCACCACUAUCCAUGGAAAUGUUGCUUUUGUGUUCAGAGCCUGGGAAUGACUGACCUGUCCUGUGACCACA